Molecule: microRNA, 23 nt
Filed under: Gallus gallus (chicken)
Lineage: Eukaryota; Metazoa; Chordata; Aves; Galliformes; Phasianidae
Description: microRNA Ros-gga
Source: RNAcentral
CCCAGUGUUCAAACUACCUGUUC